CAUAGUGCACCGGUGGAAGAAAAAGAAAAACUAUGAGGAGGAGCAAAAUGAAGAGGAUCACCCGCUAAAACCGGUUCAGGCGGUUCGAGAGUGACGCUCCUUUCCGAACGCCUCAGCGUUUUUAGUUUCAUCCUCAGCGAAGCGGGCAGGGACCUGGAGACAGAAUGCCACGAACCCCCACUGCUGCUCCUGCAGAUGUCUGUUAUUCCUCUGGCUGUCACCACGGCAACAGAGCUGGAUCGUCUCAGGGUUCCAAGGGUCCUCAGCAAAAAUAAACAAGCUGUUGCAACAGGGGAGGGACAACUUUCUACAGUAUGGAACUGACUUCCAUCACUCAGUGACCAUAUCCUUCUCAGCGUCACACACAUUCCUGUGUCUUAACAAGGGGCAUGCUGGUUUUUCCACUGAUUGUGCACAAUAAACAGACUCAUGAACAGAACCACACUUGUUCAGAUUUUUGAGAGAUAAAAUAAGAUGCUAGGAUUGAUGUGGCACAACGUUAAAAGGAUGUG
Molecule: long non-coding RNA, 512 nt
Filed under: Scleropages formosus (Asian bonytongue)
Lineage: Eukaryota; Metazoa; Chordata; Actinopteri; Osteoglossiformes; Osteoglossidae
Description: lncRNA (ENSSFOG00015029235.1)
Source: RNAcentral